RNAcentral lists this ribosomal RNA (274 nucleotides) under uncultured bacterium. Its description in RNAcentral is "partial 16S ribosomal RNA". It matches the Rfam family "Bacterial small subunit ribosomal RNA", at positions 523 to 796 of the family's 1533-position model. The record is from RNAcentral.
AUACGGAGGGUGCGAGCGUUAUCAGGAUUUAUUAGGUUUAAAGGGUGUGUAGGCGGGAGCCUAAGUCAGUGUAGAAAUCUCGCAGCUUAACUGCGAAACUGCCAUUGAAACUGGGUUUCUUGAGUAUAGUUGAGGUAGGCGGAAUGUGUAAUGUAGCGGUGAAAUGCAUAGAUAUUACACAGAAAACCGAUUGCGAAGGCAGCUUACUAAGCUAUUACUGACGCUGAUGCACGCAAGCGUGGGUAGCGAACAGGAUUAGAUACCCCAGUAGUCC